Molecule: ribosomal RNA, 171 nt
Filed under: Lateolabrax latus (blackfin seabass)
Lineage: Eukaryota; Metazoa; Chordata; Actinopteri; Acropomatiformes; Lateolabracidae
Description: partial 12S rRNA
Source: RNAcentral
CACCGCGGUUAUACGAGGGGCCCAAGUUGAUAGACACCGGCGUAAAGGGUGGUUAGGAUAAAAAUUAAAGACUAAAGCCGAACACCUUCAAGGCUGUUAUACGCACCCGAAGGUAAGAAGCUCAAUCACGAAAGUGGCUUUAUUCCCACCGAACCCACGAAAGCUACGACA